This 580-nucleotide ribosomal RNA is filed under the name Rossellomorea vietnamensis. Its description in RNAcentral is "bacterial SSU rRNA". It matches the Rfam family "Bacterial small subunit ribosomal RNA", at positions 211 to 782 of the family's 1533-position model. Lineage: Bacteria; Bacillati; Bacillota; Bacilli; Caryophanales; Bacillaceae. The record is from RNAcentral.
GCUAUCACUUACAGAUGGACCCGCGGCGCAUUAGCUAGUUGGUGAGGUAACGGCUCACCAAGGCAACGAUGCGUAGCCGACCUGAGAGGGUGAUCGGCCACACUGGGACUGAGACACGGCCCAGACUCCUACGGGAGGCAGCAGUAGGGAAUCUUCCGCAAUGGACGAAAGUCUGACGGAGCAACGCCGCGUGAGUGAUGAAGGUUUUCGGAUCGUAAAGCUCUGUUGUUAGGGAAGAACAAGUGCCGUUCGAAUAGGGCGGCACCUUGACGGUACCUAACCAGAAAGCCACGGCUAACUACGUGCCAGCAGCCGCGGUAAUACGUAGGUGGCAAGCGUUGUCCGGAAUUAUUGGGCGUAAAGCGCGCGCAGGUGGUUCCUUAAGUCUGAUGUGAAAGCCCACGGCUCAACCGUGGAGGGUCAUUGGAAACUGGGGAACUUGAGUGCAGAAGAGGAAAGUGGAAUUCCAAGUGUAGCGGUGAAAUGCGUAGAUAUUUGGAGGAACACCAGUGGCGAAGGCGACUUUCUGGUCUGUAACUGACACUGAGGCGCGAAAGCGUGGGGAGCAAACAGGAUUAGA